Molecule: ribosomal RNA, 1396 nt
Filed under: Escherichia coli
Lineage: Bacteria; Pseudomonadati; Pseudomonadota; Gammaproteobacteria; Enterobacterales; Enterobacteriaceae
Description: partial 23S ribosomal RNA
Rfam family: Bacterial large subunit ribosomal RNA
Source: RNAcentral
GCGCGCGAUACAGGGUGACAGCCCCGUACACAAAAAUGCACAUGCUGUGAGCUCGAUGAGUAGGGCGGGACACGUGGUAUCCUGUCUGAAUAUGGGGGGACCAUCCUCCAAGGCUAAAUACUCCUGACUGACCGAUAGUGAACCAGUACCGUGAGGGAAAGGCGAAAAGAACCCCGGCGAGGGGAGUGAAAAAGAACCUGAAACCGUGUACGUACAAGCAGUGGGAGCACGCUUAGGCGUGUGACUGCGUACCUUUUGUAUAAUGGGUCAGCGACUUAUAUUCUGUAGCAAGGUUAACCGAAUAGGGGAGCCGAAGGGAAACCGAGUCUUAACUGGGCGUUAAGUUGCAGGGUAUAGACCCGAAACCCGGUGAUCUAGCCAUGGGCAGGUUGAAGGUUGGGUAACACUAACUGGAGGACCGAACCGACUAAUGUUGAAAAAUUAGCGGAUGACUUGUGGCUGGGGGUGAAAGGCCAAUCAAACCGGGAGAUAGCUGGUUCUCCCCGAAAGCUAUUUAGGUAGCGCCUCGUGAAUUCAUCUCCGGGGGUAGAGCACUGUUUCGGCAAGGGGGUCAUCCCGACUUACCAACCCGAUGCAAACUGCGAAUACCGGAGAAUGUUAUCACGGGAGACACACGGCGGGUGCUAACGUCCGUCGUGAAGAGGGAAACAACCCAGACCGCCAGCUAAGGUCCCAAAGUCAUGGUUAAGUGGGAAACGAUGUGGGAAGGCCCAGACAGCCAGGAUGUUGGCUUAGAAGCAGCCAUCAUUUAAAGAAAGCGUAAUAGCUCACUGGUCGAGUCGGCCUGCGCGGAAGAUGUAACGGGGCUAAACCAUGCACCGAAGCUGCGGCAGCGACGCUUAUGCGUUGUUGGGUAGGGGAGCGUUCUGUAAGCCUGUGAAGGUGUGCUGUGAGGCAUGCUGGAGGUAUCAGAAGUGCGAAUGCUGACAUAAGUAACGAUAAAGCGGGUGAAAAGCCCGCUCGCCGGAAGACCAAGGGUUCCUGUCCAACGUUAAUCGGGGCAGGGUGAGUCGACCCCUAAGGCGAGGCCGAAAGGCGUAGUCGAUGGGAAACAGGUUAAUAUUCCUGUACUUGGUGUUACUGCGAAGGGGGGACGGAGAAGGCUAUGUUGGCCGGGCGACGGUUGUCCCGGUUUAAGCGUGUAGGCUGGUUUUCCAGGCAAAUCCGGAAAAUCAAGGCUGAGGCGUGAUGACGAGGCACUACGGUGCUGAAGCAACAAAUGCCCUGCUUCCAGGAAAAGCCUCUAAGCAUCAGGUAACAUCAAAUCGUACCCCAAACCGACACAGGUGGUCAGGUAGAGAAUACCAAGGCGCUUGAGAGAACUCGGGUGAAGGAACUAGGCAAAAUGGUGCCGUAACUUCGGGAGAAGGCACGC